RNAcentral lists this ribosomal RNA (369 nucleotides) under uncultured bacterium. RNAcentral describes it as "bacterial SSU rRNA". It matches the Rfam family "Bacterial small subunit ribosomal RNA", at positions 29 to 426 of the family's 1533-position model. The record is from RNAcentral.
AACGAACGCUGGCGGCAGGCCUAACACAUGCAAGUCGAACGCUCCGCAAGGGGAGUGGCGCACGGGUGAGUAACACGUGGGAACCUACCUUCUGGUACGGAACAACCAAGGGAAACUUUGGCUAAGACCGUAUACGACCUCCGGGUGAAAGAUUGAUCGCCGGAAGAGGGGCCCGCGUCCGAUUAGGUAGUUGGUGAGGUAACGGCUCACCAAGCCUUCGAUCGGUAGCUGGUCUGAGAGGAUGACCAGCCACACUGGGACUGAGACACGGCCCAGACUCCUACGGGAGGCAGCAGUGGGGAAUAUUGGACAAUGGGGGAAACCCGUGAUCCAGCGACGCCGCGUGUGUGAAGAAGGCCUGCGGGUUGU